AUCGUGGUAAGUGAAUGGUCAAUAAUAUCAAUUGCUUUCGUUUUAAACGAUGUCGUAUAGUGAGCUUGCUUGAUAAAUUCUGAUAUCUUUAACCUAAUAUAUUUUUCUUCUUCCUCACUUCCAGCGGCGCAUAUCUCCCUAUCGAGAAGAUUAUCAAAUGAUGGUUACUGGAGAGCAAUUUUGGUAAAUGUUUCUUUUAUAUAUUUGGAUGAUUUUCAAUGACAGCUUUGUAAAUGAUUUUCUUAAUAAACUUGCGUAAAGUUAAGACUGAUUUAUUUCUUACACAUCAAAGAGAUCAACACUCUAGUUUUCAUGGAAAGUCGUGCAAUUAAAGGUAACAGUUUUGGAUUUGCAAGAUUGCCAGACCCAGGAAAACUACCUUCUUCAGCUAGUUUCAUGUCUACUUCGGACCAAGCAGAACACAAAUGAAAAGAGAGCUAACUUACCAUGUAGAUGAGCAAAUUUCCAGAAUUACUUGUUGAAGAAGAAGACGCCACUGAAAAAUAGUUCUGUAAUAGUUAUUUUGCUUGCAUUUUUGUGGUUAAAAAUUCAGUAACGAGCAAUUCUAGCUUUCUUAUAAUUUUUUUUUAACUUUAUGUAAGUAUGCUAAGACAAUUUCAAUGUUAAUUAUUUAGGUUUCAACUUUAAAAUUUA
Long non-coding RNA from Raphanus sativus (radish), 654 nucleotides. RefSeq lists it as uncharacterized. The transcript has 2 exons. The record is from RefSeq and is a predicted model, not a curated record. NCBI's taxonomy places the organism in Eukaryota, Viridiplantae, Streptophyta, Magnoliopsida, Brassicales, Brassicaceae.